CCCACUCAAGGCACACAGCAUGGGUGCCCUGCUCUGAUCUUGGCGUCUCUUGUCCUGGGUCUGCUGAGGCUGGGUGAGGACGCGAUGGAAGGAGAUUGGUGCCAGCUGGAAGAGCACGUGCAAGAACUGGGUUUCACUAACCGACUUGCAUUUGGAGGGGACAAUGCGUCUGAGCAGAUGUUUUACAACGGUGGCCUGGUUCAUCCCAUUGUUCUUCGUCUUUGGUCCCCAUAACUUCCCGUCCCAGAUGGAGCUGCUCCUUCAGCCAUGAUCGCAAAAUGAAGAUGAUGUGUGAAGAAGAGCCACAGCCGACCUGUGGUCAAUGUGUAAGGACCUGGCCUGAGGGAAGGAGGAGGCACCUUUGACUGAAACAGGACCAACAGCAGGAGCAGCAGGUUUGGAUGGAGAAGCAAGUCUGGGUCCGGACCUAAUUGCUCGCUUCUGUGUGUCUCGCGGUCAACACACUAAAUUUCUUGAGAGUUGGGACCAGUUCUAGGCACUUUUUUUCACUCAAGGGCUGAAAUAUCUGUUGAAAGAAUAAAUAAGUGAAUGGAUAACUCCAGUAGGCCUGUUACAUUUCCUUGGAGUUCAUCCCAUUGAUGCUACGGUUUUCCAACUUCUGGAUCCAAAAGAAUCACCCGGAAGCUGGUAUAAUUCAGCCAAUCUGAGUCUGUUCCUUGUUCUUCCCUCCCCCACUGAAAACAUAAAUAGUAGCAUUGUUCUGCCUCCUUCCUGUUUUUUUUACUUUGCAAGAUAUCCUGGUGAUCUUUCCACAGAAGGACAUAGCAAGCUUCCCCACUCAUUCAUUCAUUCAUUCAUUCAUUCCUUCAUUUAUUCACAGCCGCGCAGCAUUCCAUUGCAUGCACACACCAUGAAUUUUGAACCUGUCCUCAGGGCAUGGGCCUUUACAGUGUUUUCACCUCUUUCUUGCAAACUGUACUGCCCUGAGUGGCUGUGUCCGUGCCACUCCCCACGUCUGUGAUGGUAUCAGUUCCAUACAUUCCUAGAAGCUGACGUGCGAGGCCAAAGGGCAUGCACAUUUGUGCUUUUAGGGGAUGUUGCCAAAUGGUCAUCCAGCGCUCUUGCCAGCAAAGGAGGGUGGUGGCCGUGCUUCCUGCCCACAGACGUUCGUGGUAGUGACCUGAAGCCUUUAACAUUUCAGAUGCGAAG
This is a long non-coding RNA of Equus caballus (horse), 1170 nucleotides long. Lineage: Eukaryota; Metazoa; Chordata; Mammalia; Perissodactyla; Equidae. The record is from Ensembl.